This 109-nucleotide microRNA precursor is filed under the name Marmota monax (woodchuck). The record is from RNAcentral. Lineage: Eukaryota; Metazoa; Chordata; Mammalia; Rodentia; Sciuridae.
AGUGGGAUAUCUGGGUCAAAUGGUAUACCAUUCCAAGUUUUCAAUUUUCUAAUGAAUCUCCAUACUGCUUCCCAAAGUGAUUGUACCAAUUUGCAGUGCCACUAGAAAU